GUCCACGCCCUAAACGAUGUCAACUGGUUGUCGGGGAAGCAAUUCCUUGGUAACGAAGCUAACGCGUGAAGUUGACCGCCUGGGGAGUACGGCCGCAAGGUUAAAACUCAAAGGAAUUGACGGGGACCCGCACAAGCGGUGGAUUAUGUGGAUUAAUUCGAUGCAACGCGAAAAACCUUACCUACCCUUGACAUGUACGGAACCUCGCAGAGAUGUGAGGGUGCCCGAAAGGGAGUCGUAACACAGGUGCUGCAUGGCUGUCGU
This 264-nucleotide ribosomal RNA is filed under the name uncultured bacterium. RNAcentral's name for it is "partial 16S ribosomal RNA". It matches the Rfam family "Bacterial small subunit ribosomal RNA", at positions 793 to 1055 of the family's 1533-position model. The record is from RNAcentral.